GGGUUGUGAGGUUAAGCGACUAAGCGUACACGGUGGAUGCCCUGGCAGUCAGAGGCGAUGAAGGACGUGCUAAUCUGCGAUAAGCGUCGGUGAGGUGAUAUGAACCGUUAUAACCGGCGAUUUCCGAAUGGGGAAACCCAGUGUGUUUCGACACACUAUCAUUAACUGAAUCCAUAGGUUAAUGAGGCGAACCGGGGGAACUGAAACAUCUAAGUACCCCGAGGAAAAGAAAUCAACCGAGAUUCCCCCAGUAGCGGCGAGCGAACGGGGAGGAGCCCAGAGCCUGAAUCAGUGUGUGUGUUAGUGGAAGCGUCUGGAAAGGCGCGCGAUACAGGGUGACAGCCCCGUACACAAAAAUGCACAUAUUGUGAGCUCGAUGAGUAGGGCGGGACACGUGGUAUCCUGUCUGAAUAUGGGGGGACCAUCCUCCAAGGCUAAAUACUCCUGACUGACCGAUAGUGAACCAGUACCGUGAGGGAAAGGCGAAAAGAACCCCGGCGAGGGGAGUGAAAAAGAACCUGAAACCGUGUACGUACAAGCAGUGGGAGCCUCUUAAUGGGGUGACUGCGUACCUUUUGUAUAAUGGGUCAGCGACUUAUAUUCUGUAGCAAGGUUAACCGAAUAGGGGAGCCGAAGGGAAACCGAGUCUUAACUGGGCGUUAAGUUGCAGGGUAUAGACCCGAAACCCGGUGAUCUAGCCAUGGGCAGGUUGAAGGUUGGGUAACACUAACUGGAGGACCGAACCGACUAAUGUUGAAAAAUUAGCGGAUGACUUGUGGCUGGGGGUGAAAGGCCAAUCAAACCGGGAGAUAGCUGGUUCUCCCCGAAAGCUAUUUAGGUAGCGCCUCGUGAAUUCAUCUCCGGGGGUAGAGCACUGUUUCGGCAAGGGGGUCAUCCCGACUUACCAACCCGAUGCAAACUGCGAAUACCGGAGAAUGUUAUCACGGGAGACACACGGCGGGUGCUAACGUCCGUCGUGAAGAGGGAAACAACCCAGACCGCCAGCUAAGGUCCCAAAGUCAUGGUUAAGUGGGAAACGAUGUGGGAAGGCCCAGACAGCCAGGAUGUUGGCUUAGAAGCAGCCAUCAUUUAAAGAAAGCGUAAUAGCUCACUGGUCGAGUCGGCCUGCGCGGAAGAUGUAACGGGGCUAAACCAUGCACCGAAGCUGCGGCAGCGACACUAUGUGUUGUUGGGUAGGGGAGCGUUCUGUAAGCCUGUGAAGGUGG
This 1226-nucleotide ribosomal RNA is filed under the name Escherichia coli. RNAcentral describes it as "partial 23S ribosomal RNA". It matches the Rfam family "Bacterial large subunit ribosomal RNA", at positions 1 to 1259 of the family's 2925-position model. Lineage: Bacteria; Pseudomonadati; Pseudomonadota; Gammaproteobacteria; Enterobacterales; Enterobacteriaceae. The record is from RNAcentral.